RNAcentral lists this unclassified non-coding RNA (345 nucleotides) under soil metagenome. RNAcentral's name for it is "partial contains 5.8S ribosomal RNA, internal transcribed spacer 2, and large subunit ribosomal RNA". The stretch from base 1 to 119 matches the Rfam family "5.8S ribosomal RNA", at positions 35 to 154 of the family's 154-position model. The record is from RNAcentral.
GAUGAAGAACGUAGCGAAAUGCGAUACGUAAUGUGAAUUGCAAAUUCAGUGAAUCAUCGAGUCUUUGAACGCACAUUGCGCCCCCUGGUAUUCCGGGGGGCAUGCCUGUCCGAGCGUCAUUGCUGCCCUCAAGCACGGCUUGUGUGUUGGGCCCCGUCCUCCGAUCCCGGGGGACGGGCCCGAAAGGCAGCGGCGGCACCGCGUCCGGUCCUCGAGCGUAUGGGGCUUUGUCACCCGCUCUGUAGGCCCGGCCGGCGCUUGCCGAUCAACCCAAAUUUUUAUCCAGGUUGACCUCGGAUCAGGUAGGGAUACCCGCUGAACUUAAGCAUAUCAAUAAGCGGAGUA